UUUCCAAAACAAUAAAGCCAACGUUUCGCUGUUAAAAAUCACGCAGACAAGAGGUAAUGAGAAACUUGUUGCAGAAACCAGGGACGAGUAGAAAAGUGAAAAUGAACAAAGAAAAACGGAGCAUCACAGAUUCUGAUUCCCCUACGAGAAAGGUCUCAACAUUCAGAGUUUGUGGAGCCAAUCAGCACACUCAGAUUCAUCUUCUGGAAUGACGUCAAGUGGGAUUCUCCUGGAAGUAAGCCAAAGCAGCUUUCAAAAACAGGAUGAAUAAAUACAUAUGUUACUUUGACUGAACACGAUUUCCAGGAAGUACCACAUCCAACCAAUGACAGGAUCCCCUCCUCCCCAAGCAGGGUCGCCACCGUCCUGCAGUUCUUGACAGCGCCAGGACCCACUUCCUUGUUCUCAUGCUGCUGCUGCUUCUCCACCGGCGCCAACUCCUCUUGCGAGUCCUUAUUCGUUCUUUUGAGUUCAGAUGGCGGGCUUGUGAUGAGAGAGGCGACGCUGGCGACCUGAGCAGCUUUGAUAUAUCCCCCCUCUAUCGCCGUCCUACUCGUUCCACAGCUCCCUUUUCUCUCAACAAGGAGACUCACUUGCAAGUAAAGCCGAAUUGUCAUUAAAUAUACCUGCAUUUAACACAAUGCGCCUCACAGUAUCUUAUUUUUUACUUUAUUUUAUUAAUGUAACGUAUAAUACAUGUUUUUGGAUAGUUAUUUUGAGAUUCAGGGGGUUUAUAGGGGUACUUAAAGGGUUAAUGCCGAUUUACGCUGAAAUUCGGGUUACAUCGCCAGUGUAGGAACGGAACUGGUUCGUAACCCGGGGACUAUCUACAUAUAUACUUUCAUUAAAGAUGUAAUUUUUUUAUCAUUGCUUUAAUUAUUAUUUAUUAAAUAAAAAUGUCAAAACAAUGAAAUGUGAAAUGGGUUUCACUAGUCAAUCCACCUCAGAGUGCCACAUUUUGAGUUAAAAAAUGAAAGUUACGAUUUGUCUGAACGUGGAUUUCACCCAGAUCCUCCCUGUCCUUCUGCCCGAAAAUAGUGAGCUUCGGGCGGCUGCGAGGGAAACGCGAAGUGCCUGAGGCCUCCAUGCUGGAGGUUUUUGUGGUGCUCAAAAACGUUGUCAUUUUUCAUUCCACAAGAUCAUUCAGAGUUUAUCUAUGUACUGCAGCUCAAUAAAUGAAAAAAAUGCCAAUGGUUAUGGUCAUCGCCAGGGUCGUGCAGAGACCGAUGGAGGGGGAGGUGCUGGUAGAUCAAAAGGGGCACAUGAACAAAAAUUGAAUACACCUUACAACAACAUAACUUACAGUUUAACCAGCCUUACAGUACAAUUAGCUGUGACUUUGACAGACUUAAAUUGGGAGGGGGGAACAGUAAAAAGAAAUCAACACUGUCAUCAACACUUUCUGACUGGGACUCAGUCAGUCUUUGCCUCAUUUCUUCCUUCAACCUCUAUAUCAAAACUUCCUUUCUCAAUUUGUUGUUCAUCUUUGAACAAACCCAAUUAGAUGUUAACCGAGCCACCAUCAGACAGUUUUUUCAAAACUUUUUUUCAUUAUUAGAGAACUUAACUCAUUUUCUCCCAGAAACGUAUAAAUACGUUCUAUUUUUUAAUGCUUCAUUGUCCCAAAAACGUAUUUAUUUUUCUUUUGCGUUUUUAAAAAAAAUUUUUUACAAGAAGAAUCUAUAGCUUACGAUCUAUCUGAGAAACAAAAAACAAGGCUCCAAACCCAUUUUAAAGCAAUAAAACUGGCCACUGGAGGGCAGUAGCGCAUUUUGUAAAGACCCGCAACCCGAUUCAACAGCAUUGAAAGGCCUGGCAGCACGGUCGGAGCGCCUGCGGCAGUAUGCCAGGCGGCGGACGACCGAACAAAACAACCGAGAGGACGCCUGGAAUGCCAGGCACUGGACGACGGAGCAAAACAACUGAGACCACCGUGCAGCGGGCUCGCCAAGCAGACUCCGCAGAGAUUAAAAAAUAAUCCAUCUUUGUGAGACGGAUAACGAUGAGGGAAAAGUUUACACGGCAGACGCGGCGACAACGGCGUCAUCUCGGCGACAACAGGCCUCAUCUCUCAGUAGUCAUGUGUAAAUAAAUUGUUACUUUGCAAUCAAAAGCUCUAUUUGUCUUGUUCAUUAUGAUAUUUUGUAAAAGGAAAGCAUUAUUCAGAGGUUUGGGAUGUAACUAAUGCAAAAAAUAGCUGUGUUAAAGUCAAGUUAUGUUUAAAAUGUAUGCGUUUACAAAAAGCUUUUUUUCUCCGUUUUUUCAUCAGAAACUGGAAAAUUGCUCAAACUAAGCUAUUUUCUAAUGUUGAUUUCUAAAGAAUGGAAAAAGAUAUGAACUUACUUUUUUUUCUGCUGAAAGAAGAGAGUCUAAUCUUUCUUUGGUGGGUUCCAUGUUUAUAUACCAAUAGAACAGAAUUUUCUGUGGGCCUUGCAAAAUCAGUCAAAAUCCAGAAAAACGGCCGGGAGCGAAGGGCCUUGCUCUGGUGAAAAUGGCUGCGAGUGAAUGAGUUAAAGAUGUGUACCUUUCUAGAUAAUGUUGUGAAGAGAAAUAUGGUUGCCUAUAGAGAGUAGAGACACACGGAUCGAAAUAGCCUUGGGGUGGGGGGUGAUUCAUUUUUAAAGUAGAAAAUAAUAUAAGAGAAAAUUACAAAUUAUUAUUUUUAAAAAUCCCCACAAUAAACCUGUUGUAAGAAUGUUCACUGCAGUAUUUGCUCAAACACGGUUCAAUAGGGUAACACUAGCCUGGUACACCAGACUCACCUUGUUCCAGCUAUUGAGUCUGGCCACCAUUCAGCGGAUAGCAUUCAGCGAAUUUCCAGGGCGGAGCAAGCCACAGCAAACAGACAGCGGAGUGGAACAAUCAGCAACGGGUGGACGUGACAUUAGUAAAGCAACGAGAGCAGGACGAGGGACUUGCGCGCCGAAGUAAACAUAUGAGGAGAGCGGAGUUUAUUCAACAUGGCUAGUGUGAGACAGACUGUUGUCAAUGACUCGUGUCGAUGUGUUUUCGGUCAUUUAAAACUGAUUUUACCGUGGAUUGGAACAUAUUCUCGGCUCUCCUGUUCGCCAUCUGUGUUGUUUUGGAGAUGACGUCCGACGCUGAAGAGUGACGUUGCUCGUUCAAAACACGUCAUGCAAAUAAACGAAUCUGAUUGGACGGUUGAUUUUGUAAGUGUUCGAGAGGCCGUUAAUGGGCUGGGUCUCAGAAUAUUCUCACAGUGUUUGAAAAAUACAGGGAGAACAGUCUGGCCGUGCCAGGCAAGGGUAACACUGUUUUCAACCACCAGAUGUCCUCAGACCCCUCACUACACACCCAGAUCACAGAGGAAGCAAGGGGAGGAGGGGGCUUGUUAUGCGCCGAUUGAGCGGCACACAGACGACUUUUUAAAAAACAUUUUUUUUAAAAUGUGUUUUCGGUGUUCAAGUAAAGUACGCGGUGGCGUGCCUGCGCAGUCGGCCAGCACACACAUACAGUGGGGCAAAUAAGUAUUUAGUCAACCACUAACGGAGGCCAAAUGUUUUCUGUAACUCUUCACAAGCUUUUCACACACUGUUGCUGGUAUUUUGGCCCAUUCCUCCAUGCAGAUCUCUUCUAGAGCAGUGAUGUUUUGGGGCUGUCGUUGGGCAACACGGACUUUCAACUCCCUCCACAGAUUUUCUAUGGGAUUGAGAUUUGGAGACUGGCUAGGCCACUCCAGGACCUUGAAAUGCUUCUUACGAAGCCACUCCUUUGUUGCCCUGGCUGUGUGUUUGGGAUCAUUGUAAUGCUGAAAGACCCAGACGCGUCUCAUCUUCAAUGCCCUUGCUGAUCCAAGGAGAUUUUCACUCAAAAUCUCUCAAUACAUGGCCCCAUUCAUUCUUUUCUUUACACAGACCAGUCGUCCUGGUCACUUUGCAGAAAAACAGCCCCAAAGCAUGAUGUUUCCACCCCCAUGCUUCACAGUGGGUAUGGUGUUCUUCGGAUGCAAUUCAGUAUUCUAUCUCCUCCAAACACGAGAACCUGUGUUUCUACCAAAAAGUUCUAUUUUAGUUUCAUCUGACCAUAACACA
This is an RNA transcript of Corythoichthys intestinalis (scribbled pipefish), 4052 nucleotides long. RefSeq lists it as uncharacterized. NCBI's taxonomy places the organism in Eukaryota, Metazoa, Chordata, Actinopteri, Syngnathiformes, Syngnathidae. The transcript has 6 exons. The record is from RefSeq and is a predicted model, not a curated record.